AGGGACUGCCAUGGAUACCUCUGGGGAUGUCACAGGGACUGCCACAGCCACCCUGAGGAUGUCACAGGGAUUUCCAUGGAUACCCCUGGGGAUGUCACCCCUGGGGGUGUCACAGGGACUGCCAUGGAUACCCUGGGGAUGUCACAGGGACUGCCACAGCCACCCUGGGGAUGUCACAGGGAUGGUCAUGGAUACCUCUGGGGAUGUCUCAGGGACUGCCACAGCCAGCCCUGGCUCCAGUUAGGGAAUAACCUGUCCUCAGCAAGCCAGCUCCUGUCUGCAGGAGAUGGGGCCAUGAAGAAUCACCGCCCAUCCAUCUCCUCCUGGCCUCAGGUUCCUUCAGAAGUUCAGCUGCACAAAGUACAAUUUCCCAAGCUGUGAGUAGCCAGGGGUCCUCACCAACAGCCUUGACCUAGAGAGCUUUCUCCAGAGCCACCCGGGAAGCUCAAAAACUUCUUUUUAUCGCUUUGCAUCUGACAGCAACCCAAAAACCAUCGGCAGUGGCUGGCAGCCCCUCUGAGGAUCCAUUCCCAUUUCUGUUUUCCAUGAAGCGAGUGCAGCUCAGCAAACCAACCUCUCUGUUUCAGCAGAGAUUCCAUCUGCAACGUUUGAAAUUGGGAUCAGCGCUGCAAAGUAGAGCUGAGUUCACCACCAUCCCUCUUUUCCCAAAUCUCUGUUCAGGAAUAUAGUUUGAUCCAAAUCUCUGGAUUUUCAUACUAUGGAAAGAAUCACAGAUUAAACUGUGCUAGACCAAUUAUUUCUUUCUAUGAGUAAACUGACAAAUUUA
This is a long non-coding RNA of Passer domesticus (house sparrow), 787 nucleotides long. RefSeq lists it as uncharacterized. The transcript has 3 exons. The record is from RefSeq and is a predicted model, not a curated record. Lineage: Eukaryota; Metazoa; Chordata; Aves; Passeriformes; Passeridae.